This 163-nucleotide unclassified non-coding RNA is filed under the name uncultured Cortinarius. RNAcentral describes it as "sequence contains ITS1". Lineage: Eukaryota; Fungi; Basidiomycota; Agaricomycetes; Agaricales; Cortinariaceae. The record is from RNAcentral.
UUGAAAUAAACCUGAUGGGUUGUUGCUGGUUCUCUCGGGAGCAUGUGCACACCUUGUCAUCUUUAUAUCUCCACCUGUGCACCUUUUGUAGACCUGAAAAGGUCUAUGUUGCUUCAUUUACCCCAAUGUAUGUUAAUAGAAUGUUGUGCCUUUAUAAUGUAUA